UCCCGCGUGGCACAAUUGGUCAGCGCGUUCGGCUUUUAACCGAAAGGUUAGGAGUUCGAGCCUCCUCGUGGGAG
RNAcentral lists this transfer RNA (74 nucleotides) under Hortaea werneckii EXF-2000. Its description in RNAcentral is "tRNA-Lys (TTT) (tRNA-Lys-TTT-1-1, tRNA-Lys-TTT-1-2)". It matches the Rfam family "tRNA". Rfam says of the family: Transfer RNA (tRNA) molecules are approximately 80 nucleotides in length. Their secondary structure includes four short double-helical elements and three loops (D, anti-codon, and T loops). Further hydrogen bonds mediate the characteristic L-shaped molecular structure. tRNAs have two regions of fundamental functional importance: the anti-codon, which is responsible for specific mRNA codon recognition, and the 3' end, to which the tRNAs corresponding amino acid is attached (by aminoacyl-tRNA synthetases). tRNAs cope with the degeneracy of the genetic code in two manners: having more than one tRNA (with a specific anti-codon) for a particular amino acid; and 'wobble' base-pairing, i.e. permitting non-standard base-pairing at the 3rd anti-codon position. The record is from RNAcentral. Lineage: Eukaryota; Fungi; Ascomycota; Dothideomycetes; Mycosphaerellales; Teratosphaeriaceae.